UACGGAGGGGGCUAGCGUUGUUCGGAAUUACUGGGCGUAAAGCGCACGUAGGCGGACUGGAAAGUUGGGGGUGAAAUCCCGAGGCUCAACCUCGGAACUGCCUUCAAAACUCCCAGUCUUGAGGUCGAGAGAGGUGAGUGGAAUUCCGAGUGUAGAGGUGAAAUUCGUAGAUAUUCGGAGGAACACCAGUGGCGAAGGCGGCUCACUGGCUCGAUACUGACGCUGAGGUGCGAAAGCGUGGGGAGCAAACAGG
This 253-nucleotide ribosomal RNA is filed under the name uncultured bacterium. RNAcentral describes it as "partial 16S ribosomal RNA". It matches the Rfam family "Bacterial small subunit ribosomal RNA", at positions 524 to 776 of the family's 1533-position model. The record is from RNAcentral.